UCGGGAAUUUUGGGCAAUGGGCGAAAGCCUGACCCAGCAACGCCGCGUGAAGGAUGAAGUAUUUCGGUAUGUAAACUUCGAAAGAAUAGGAAGAAUAAAUGACGGUACUAUUUAUAAGGUCCGGCUAACUACGUGCCAGCAGCCGCGGUAAUACGUAGGGACCAAGCGUUGUUCGGAUUUACUGGGCGUAAAGGGUGCGUAGGCGGACUGAUAAGUCAGUGGUGAAAUCUCUCAGCUUAACUGAGAAACUGCCAUUGAUACUGCAGGUCUAGAGUAUAGAUGACGUUGGCGGAAUAUGACAUGUAGUGGUGAAAUACUUAGAUAUGUCAUAGAACACCGAUUGCGAAGGCAGCUAACGAAACUAUAACUGACGCUGAGGCACGAAAGUGCGGGGAUCAAACAGGAUUAGAUACCCCGGUAGUCCCUGAGCGGGCUGGCAAGGCGCAU
RNAcentral lists this ribosomal RNA (447 nucleotides) under uncultured bacterium. Its description in RNAcentral is "bacterial SSU rRNA". It matches the Rfam family "Bacterial small subunit ribosomal RNA", at positions 355 to 825 of the family's 1533-position model. The record is from RNAcentral.